AUAUCUCUCUGUACGGGAAGGAUGAGAAGCUUCGACUAAGGUUCGAUUCGAGCGAAAGCGAGAAAGCGUUGCCGC
This 75-nucleotide small RNA is filed under the name Salmonella enterica. Its description in RNAcentral is "partial RtT sRNA". It matches the Rfam family "RtT RNA", at positions 1 to 74 of the family's 130-position model. From Rfam's summary of the family: This family represents a bacterial cis-regulatory element known as RtT RNA. The record is from RNAcentral. Lineage: Bacteria; Pseudomonadati; Pseudomonadota; Gammaproteobacteria; Enterobacterales; Enterobacteriaceae.